This is a non-coding RNA of Paramuricea clavata, 388 nucleotides long. Lineage: Eukaryota; Metazoa; Cnidaria; Anthozoa; Malacalcyonacea; Plexauridae. The record is from the annotation of a GenBank genome assembly.
CUUCUUUUGUUCUUUUCAAAAUAGCCCAGAAUUUGGUUUAAAAAAGUAUUUUCAUGCAAAAACCAGCAUUUAACUUUUGUAUACACUCCUUGUGAUAGCAGCCAUGUUGCCAAAAUAUCACCCGGUUAAUGAAUAACUUGCGGUACUUUCAUUGUAUUCGCAUUGACCAAUCAAAUCACGUUCUGAGUUGGAUUAUCCCAGGGCUUCUGAGAGCAAUAAGCGCAGAAGCCCUGGGUACGAGGUUGAUACGGCUCCGUAUUAAAAUACGGCUCCGUCUCAUUAUAUUAACUAUGGUUAGAUUGUGUGUUAUACUUUUUGUCCUCAAGAUUUCUCCAAGUUGUACAAAGUCAAUUAUAUUCAUUGGAUGCACAAAGAGAAAAGAACGCUG